This is a long non-coding RNA of Numida meleagris (helmeted guineafowl), 1710 nucleotides long. The record is from Ensembl. Lineage: Eukaryota; Metazoa; Chordata; Aves; Galliformes; Numididae.
AUUUGCUCUUACAUAUUGGAAUUUUGGGUGGAGAGGAGCACUGAAUAUUACCUCAGAAUCACGGCUUAGCCAUGGGAAUGAAGUGCAGUUCAAUUGCAACAACAUUGUAGUCCCCCAUGAAGCCUGUUUUUUGUCAGUUUAAGAUCCUUUGAACCUCAUGACCUUUCCUUAUACAUACCAAAGUGACAUGUAAACAUGCAUUGUAUUCAGUUUUGGCUGAAGUGAUUUUCUUUCUUAAAUGCUGUAGUGAUAAGUAUACACAGCUGUAUUAAAUGCCCGGGAUUCUUUUCCUUUCUGUAGAGCAGUGGCUCAAAAUGAGUGUUAUCAUUGGCAUUAGUGAAACUACUGCUAUGUUUUGUAUAUAUCUGCAGUAACAGAAUAAGCUUCAUGUAAUAAAGUGAAUGAGUUUUCAGUACUGCUACUAUUCUUACAUGAAGAUAUACUGCAGUGUGCCAAUUAAUGCUAUUUUUAAAGGCUAUUUUGAGCAAGGAGUUGGACUAGAGAUCUACUGAAGUCCUUACAACUCCAGCUGUUGUCUAAUAAGUGUUGUUUCUGUGAGCGUUGAGGAGCAAUUUUUAAAAAUCAGUGAAAUACAUUUUUGCAUUUGUCAUACUAUUUUGAAAAGGUGUAGAAAUUUAAAAAUAUGAACUUCUAAAAAAAAUAAAGCCUCAGGCAUAGUAAAUAUUCUACACAUUUCAGUUUUACAUGCCAGAGUGUGGGAAACUAUCUACAUGACAAUGGGCAUGUUUACUUGGACGUGCUGGACUCUUGAGUUGUCCUUGAUGCCUUGGAACAAGUAACUUGCAAGAACAUCAGGAAGCAAAGUGCUGGGAAAAGCAGAAACUUUGAAACAGCAAAAGCAUACAGAGACUUGCUCAAGCCAACCAAUCAAGUAACGCCAUGUUGGAGCACGCUUUUCACAAAUGCAUAAAAGUCUGAUUGUUCUAUCAAUAAACGAAUCACUUGCUUAACCAUAUUGGUAUUUUCUCGUGAUCUCCGGCGUGUGUGCUGCGACACCAGAGAACCUGUUUUUCAAGCUUUGGUUUUUUUCACCAAAUUGCUUAAAACCUCUGUGAAAAUUCAGUCUCUCUCUCAGUUCCUGAAAUGUGGGAAGGAUGACCACACUCAGUGUAAGAAACGCUGGUUUAGAUUUUUUGAGUACGUGAGUAUAUGCUAUUGCACUCUAACACAGAGAGCCAUCGUUUUUGAAAGUGCCAACAACUGAAGAUUGUGAGAACGACUUGAUUUCUAUACCUUGAGAAUUAAGGUUGCAUACCUAGACUCCUAUAUCUUGGUUUAGAAGCUGAACAUUAGAAAUCAAUCUUGCAUGUCUUUGCCAGAUUGUUUAUCUAAAAUUGAAACUUACUCUUAUGAGGAAAGUGUCCAUCUUUUCGCUGGGCUUUGCAAAUUCAUGCUAUUGAUGAAAGGCAAACGUGCAAUUUAAAUGCAUUUUUUCUUAGAUUGAGAUUAGCAGGGGCAUGCCAUUAUCAAACAAUGUCACGAGUAUAAAAUUAAAGUCAUAAUUUUAAAGAAGGCAAACAUUUUCUCAAUCUACUGCUGUAGUGAACUUUUGUGCUCUCCUUUCCCUUACCCUCCUUUCUGUUUUUCCUUUCUCUCUCUACUUUUCACAAUAGUAAAUUCCAUUUCACUGAUAUUCUACGUCUAAUAUUGUGAAUCCAGCAGAAUUCUGCAAGCAAAACAUGACAGAAU